GGGUGAGUAACACGUGGAUAACCUACCUAUAAGACUGGGAUAACUUCGGGAAACCGGAGCUAAUACCGGAUAAUAUUUUGAACCGCAUGGUUCAAAAGUGAAAGACGGUCUUGCUGUCACUUAUAGAUGGAUCCGCGCUGCAUUAGCUAGUUGGUAAGGUAACGGCUUACCAAGGCAACGAUGCAUAGCCGACCUGAGAGGGUGAUCGGCCACACUGGAACUGAGACGCGGUCCAG
Molecule: ribosomal RNA, 236 nt
Filed under: uncultured Staphylococcus sp.
Lineage: Bacteria; Bacillati; Bacillota; Bacilli; Caryophanales; Staphylococcaceae
Description: partial 16S ribosomal RNA
Rfam family: Bacterial small subunit ribosomal RNA
Source: RNAcentral